This 465-nucleotide ribosomal RNA is filed under the name uncultured bacterium. RNAcentral's name for it is "partial 16S ribosomal RNA". It matches the Rfam family "Bacterial small subunit ribosomal RNA", at positions 338 to 795 of the family's 1533-position model. The record is from RNAcentral.
CCUACGGGUGACAGCAGUGGGGAAUAUUGCGCAAUGGGCGAAAGCCUGACGCAGCGACGCCGCGUGAGGGAUGAAGGUCUUCGGAUCGUAAACCUCUGUCAGCAGGGAAGAACGGUCACUGUGCUAAUCAGCAGUGAAUUGACGGUACCUGCAAAGGAAGCACCGGCUAACUCCGUGCCAGCAGCCGCGGUAAUACGGAGGGUGCGAGCGUUAAUCGGAAUUACUGGGCGUAAAGCGCUCGUAGGCGGUAUGUCAAGUCAAGGGGGAAAUCCCCGCGCUCAACGUGGGAACUGCCUUUGAAACUGGCAAACUGGAGUGUGUGAGAGGAUAGUGGAAUUCUAGGUGUAGGAGUGAAAUCCGUAGAUAUCUGGAGGAACAUCAGUGGCGAAGGUGACUAUCUGGCACAUAACUGACGCUGAGGAGCGAAAGCGUGGGUAGCAAACAGGAUUAGAUACCCGGGUAGUC